GGGGGUAAUAAGCGGCAGACGGGUGUUAACACGUAGGUGAUCUACCCAGAGACGGGAAUAACGGGUGGAAAGAUACGCUAAUACCGGAUAGAGUUGUUCGGUCAAAGGGACAAGGAAAGGCUCCGGCGCUCUGGGAUGAGCCUGCGGCCCAUCAGCUAGUUGGCGUGGUAAUGGCCCACCAAGGCAAAGACGGGUAGGGGGUGUGAGAGCAUGGCCCCCCACAAUGGGACUGGAACACGGCCCAUACUCCUACGGGAGGCAGCAGCAUGGAAUAUUGCACAAUGGACGGAAGUCUGAUGCAGCGACGCCGCGUGGAUGAAGAAUGCCCUCGGGUUGUAAAAUCCUUUACAGGGGGAAGACGAAGGACGGUACCCCUGGAACAAGUGUCGGCUAACUACGUGCCAACAGGCGCGGUAAGACGUAGGACACAAGCGUUAUCCGGAUUUACUGGGCGUAAAGCGUCUGCAGGCGGACAGGUAAGUUGGGCGUGAAAGCUCCGGGACCGACCCGGAGAGGUCGUUCAAUACUGCGUGUCUAGAGGGUGUCAGAGGGGAGUGGAAUUUCCGGAGUAGCGGUAAAAUGCGCCGAGAUCGGAAAGAACAGCAAUGGCGAAGGCAGAUCCCUGAGGCAAGCCUGACGCUAAGAGACGAAAGCUAGGGGAGCGAACAGGAUUAGAGACCCUGGUAGUCCUAGCCCUAAACGAUCGCUGC
RNAcentral lists this ribosomal RNA (710 nucleotides) under uncultured organism. RNAcentral describes it as "bacterial SSU rRNA". It matches the Rfam family "Bacterial small subunit ribosomal RNA", at positions 84 to 816 of the family's 1533-position model. The record is from RNAcentral.